CAAAAAAUUACGAAAAACCGAAGCUUACCGGCGGCGGUGCUCUCAGGUGCGGCAGCUCUCCGGCGAGGUUCGUGUUUUGGUGAUUUGGCUCCGAUCAACCUGUAGAGAAAAGAAUGAUGAUCAUGGUGAUAUAAAAAUUGUAUCAAACGAAGGCCGGGAAGGGCCUCAUCGGAGGCAAAAAUUGAGGAGGGGCGCGGCGGUGCCGCUGGGUUUCGGCCGUGUUUUUCAGCGGUUUGGCUGGGAUUUUGGCUCUGAUUUGGCCACAGGGGAACUCAGCAAUGAAAAACAAGCUGGGGGUAUGAAAUUUACCUCGAUCGGCGGUCGAAAAACUUCCCAGUGCGGCGACGGGUGGCGAUGGCCGGCUCCUCCGACGUCUGGUUCGUCUUCUCCGGCGAGGGCAGGCGGCUAGGGUUUUUGUGGUCAGGUGUGGGGGUUUUAUUUAUACCCUUUUGCCUUUUAAUCACAGCCGUCCAUUUUGAUUAAAUCUGGGCC
Molecule: long non-coding RNA, 492 nt
Filed under: Carica papaya (papaya)
Lineage: Eukaryota; Viridiplantae; Streptophyta; Magnoliopsida; Brassicales; Caricaceae
Description: long non-coding RNA (CPAP_LNC001711)
Source: RNAcentral